AUGGUUCAGAUAGUGCAGAGGAGUAGCAGCAAUAGCAGCAUGGGCAGGAUCAAAGGAGAAGCAGCACGGGCAGGGUCAGAGGAGGAGCAGCAGCACGGGCGGGGGAGAAGGAGCAGCAGCAGCAGCACGGGCAGAUCUCCACCGGCGAGCUCCUGGUCCACUGGAUUGUGGAGGCAAGCUCCGGCGACGCCAGUAGGGGAUCGCGGCGGCGCACACGCGGGAGCUCCAGGAGGAUGCGCGGGAGCACGAGGGUGGACGCACACGAGCUUGAGGAGGAUGCCCGUGGGCUCCAGGAGGGAAGCGUGUGGCCUCGAGGAAGACGUGGCAGGAGAUUCCGGCGAAGCCCGCAGGCAGUGGGAGGAGACCACGGUGGCGCAGGUCUGGGCUGCGGCGGCAGAGGAGGUAAUUGGCGAAGGCGGCGAGAGCAGGUACUUGGCUAUGGAGGAGGAGCUCAGCUGGGCUCGCCGGCCCCUGGCGAAUCACGCAGCUGGGCGGCGCCGGCCCCUAGAGAUGGGCAGGCGACGGGCAGAGGAAGAAGACAGGGCGGAGGGACUUGUUUGA
This 561-nucleotide ribosomal RNA is filed under the name Triticum aestivum (bread wheat). Its description in RNAcentral is "partial small subunit ribosomal RNA". The record is from RNAcentral. Lineage: Eukaryota; Viridiplantae; Streptophyta; Magnoliopsida; Poales; Poaceae.